GAGAGUUAAGUCAGCUUUGCAAAAGUUUAAGAGAAGUCUAGGUCUGCCAACACUUUCAGCAGGCCCAGUAAAUUUACAUACUGAUCUGGCCCUGCCCACAUGAGAACUAUCUACAUAUAAAGACUUGCUUCCUUUUUAAUCUGUCUUUUACACACAGCUCUUACCACGGCUUCUAUAAAACAUUUGGAGACAGAGAAUUUGGAUGGUAUUAGGCUACUGAUUGGGCUUCCCAGGUGGUGCUUGCAGUAAAGAACCAGCCUGCCAAUGCAAGAGACCUAAGAGAUACCAGUUCAGUCCCUGGGUCUGGAAGAUCCCCUGGAGAAGGGCAUGGCAGCCCCAGUAUUCUUGCUUGGAGAAUCCCUUGGACAAAGAAACCAUGGGGUCAUAGAGUGGGACACAACACGACUGAAGAGACUUAGCAUGCACAGGCUACUGAUUAAAUGGUGAUUCAAGGAACUUCA
Bubalus bubalis (water buffalo) is the source of this 461-nucleotide long non-coding RNA. RefSeq lists it as uncharacterized. NCBI's taxonomy places the organism in Eukaryota, Metazoa, Chordata, Mammalia, Artiodactyla, Bovidae. The transcript has 2 exons. The record is from RefSeq and is a predicted model, not a curated record.